RNAcentral lists this ribosomal RNA (336 nucleotides) under Rhizophagus irregularis. The record is from RNAcentral. Lineage: Eukaryota; Fungi; Glomeromycota; Glomeromycetes; Glomerales; Glomeraceae.
CAGUCGUACCUGCGGGUAAUCAGCCUUUUGGGCAUGAUUCUGUGGAGCGUGAGGAGUUAAACGCCUUCAUGCCUACAUAUUCGUGUACUUUUGGGUGUACUUGCCUGUGUGGUUAGUUAACAUCAAUUUUGGUUAUCAUAAAAUGGUUGGAGGAAUGUAGCUUCGAUCUCGUAUUGAAGUGUUAUAGCCUUCGGCAGAUGUGAUGAUCGAGAUUGAGGAUUGCAAUGGAUACCCUUGGGGCUACCUGUCUGAUCUCUGAUCGUUGCUCGUGUACCGAAGCGUGCUUACGGUAUCAAAGUCGAUGGCAACGAGGUUAGAACGGGUUUAAAUUCGGUU